Molecule: long non-coding RNA, 2061 nt
Organism: Uranotaenia lowii
Lineage: Eukaryota; Metazoa; Arthropoda; Insecta; Diptera; Culicidae
Exons: 3
Source: RefSeq, a predicted model, not a curated record
CACUCUUGAUUGACAACGAUACUUAAACUCACCUGUAAUUACGUUCUUUGUUGAUUUCCUUCCAUCCCGUCCUCUGUGGGUUGUUGAUGCGAAGAGCUGAAACGACAAAGAAACAACAUUAAGACUCCUGGCUAUAGUAGUGCAUACAUUUUUCGGAUGUGUUGCAGAACGUAGCAAAACAAAAAACCACCAAACAACUGAGCCUUACCUGAAGAUUUUUGAAGUUUUCCAUCAUUUCCAGAUAUUUUUCCACCGCAGUUUUAGCAGGAACUGAAAAGAGAUAGAAAAACGCAAUUAAUCAACUAAAAUCUGCAUUCAUAGCGCUUAAUGGGAACUUAUUUUGUGAAAAUUAGGACUUACCUUAAGGAUCAACAGCCACCACCAGUUUGUUUACAUCGAAAACAUUCAAUAUUAAAAUUUUUCCUUCAUUUCAACAUUUCCACCUACUUGUUGUUUUGAUUAUAGAUUCUUCUUGUAUUCUUCUUCGGAAAUACAUUCGAUUUUGCAAGUGACGUUUCCCGUGAGUGACCGUCAAAAAUAUACACUGAGCUAAAAAUCCCAGCUGUUUCUGUCACACGCUGACUUGAAAACACGCGAAGUGUGAUUUAAAAAGAAAAAGUUCAAAGAUUUAAUCUUUAUUUGGUUCAAUCAAAUUAAAAGAUAGGUACAACGACGCAUUCAUCUCUCUCGAAACAAAAUGAAUGUAUACACAUUCAUUUUGAAAAGGGACGAUGGGGUAAUGUAACCGUUUGUUACUGCUUUUUAUGUGACUCCGCCACAAAAUCCUACCACUCCUGUACUCCGUUGAGAGUAAUACCACAGUAGAUCCAAUUCCUCUUUCCUAAACGCCUAAAUGCAGGCACUUUUCUCUGAGGGAUAUCCAUGGGCGUCGGGUUUAGGCAGGGUACAUGCCGGGGAAGUGUGAUCACCCGGAGAGCGAACACACCCGCGUAAAAAUUACAUUCUCCUUCGUAUGUGUGUCGGUCAAAUGUAACGUAGAUUUGUGCACAUGCGGGGCUAGUUCUUUCUGCCUGUGACCGUUUCAGAGAACGGAAGUGCGCGUUAUUAAAAGUUCGUAAAAUUUGUGAAAUUGUGGUGUAAAUGUUUAAAAAGUUUUUUCCUAUAAUUACAGAAAAAAGUAUAGCCAAGUAAAACCGCAGCAAGGCUUACAGUGGCAUACAUUAGUUAAAAACCUAGUUAAAAUCUUAUAAGCUAAAAGUUAAAAAAAAUAGUACGAUAAAAAGUGGUUGACAAUACAAAAACCACAUGCAGUGUAAAACCGCAUUCGACGAAACACAACAUUAAAAAGGUCCAAGAGGGCCUUUUUUGUAUUUCUAUCCAAUUGCUUAGCAGCACGGCGCAGCAGAAAAUCUAAACGGGCAGAAAGGAGCGGUCGGAACGCCAAAAUCCGACUGGUAAACCGAUCAGCACGUCCCCUCGUGGUGAAGAACCAAACCACGGUGGUGACAUCCUGCAGAGGAUCGUGGGCUCUUCCGGGACGCCGGUAAAGAGCCUGUGAUACCCUGGGCGGUGCUGAAACAACCAGCCGUCCAGCCCUGCUCCAUAAAAAUUCGACCAACAUCAACCGUACGCUAAAGAGUUCAACGGAAGAAGAAACUUCAAUCGGCCGGCCAAAAUGUGCCUAAAGAACCGCAAGUAUACCGUGUGACGUUAUUGUGAAGAAACACAGUUAGGGAAACCAAGUUUAUAAAUAAACCCCCACAAAUUAUGUAAAACCCAACGUAUGAGGAUUUCUGUAUUAUGGGAUAAUUUUUGAUUCCUUUACACCUUUUGCUCAGUAACGUUAUUGGCUGAAAGCCCCCCAAAACUUCACUCUUGAUCGGCCAGGUUGGGAAUUGCUAGCUCCGCUUUAUAUUGAUUUCAUUAAAGAUUUUGACCCGGUUGAUAGCAUGCGAAGUACCACCCGGUACGUCCCUGUCUAGCUUGGUUCCUUCUGGAUAUCCCUUCUGUGAGUUCCCCGGAGGAAAGUGUCUUGGGUUGAAAAGCAUACGAUCCUGAGUUCCAUCAUAAUUUCUUUUCCCAUGUUCCCCACCCACUGAG